This 324-nucleotide ribosomal RNA is filed under the name uncultured Euglyphida. RNAcentral's name for it is "SSU rRNA". The stretch from base 112 to 324 matches the Rfam family "Eukaryotic small subunit ribosomal RNA", at positions 741 to 955 of the family's 1831-position model. Lineage: Eukaryota; Cercozoa; Imbricatea; Euglyphida. The record is from RNAcentral.
GAUUUCUGGUUGACCAUCCUGGCCCGCUUCCUUCGGGGAGUGAGUGCUGGUAUGAGUCUUCCAUCCUUGUAGAGAGCCGUGCCUGCUGUUCACUCAGCUGGGCGCUGUGCGAUCUACAUCUUUUACUUUGAAAAAAUUAGAGUGUUUAAAGCAGGCUUACGCUGUGAAUACAUUAGCAUGGAAUAAUAAUAUAGGACUUUGGUUCUAUUUUGUUGGUUUCUAGGACUGAAGUAAUGAUUGAUAGGGAUAGUUGGGGGUGCUAGUAUUCCGCGGCCAGAGGUGAAAUUCUUGGAUUCGCGGAAGACUAACUACUGCGAAAGCAUU